This 400-nucleotide ribosomal RNA is filed under the name uncultured bacterium. RNAcentral's name for it is "partial 16S ribosomal RNA". It matches the Rfam family "Bacterial small subunit ribosomal RNA", at positions 359 to 775 of the family's 1533-position model. The record is from RNAcentral.
GAAUAUUGCACAAUGGGCGAAAGCCUGAUGCAGCAACGCCGCGUGAGCGAUGAAGGCCUUCGGGUCGUAAAGCUCUGUCCUAAGGGAAGAAUAAAUGACGGUACCUUAGGAGGAAGCCCCGGCUAACUACGUGCCAGCAGCCGCGGUAAUACGUAGGGGGCAAGCGUUAUCCGGAAUUAUUGGGCGUAAAGAGUGCGUAGGUGGAUUUACAAGCCUUUGGUGAAAGGCUACGGCUUAACCGUAGUAAGCCUUAGGAACUGUAAAUCUUGAGUGCAGGAGAGGAAAGCGGAAUUCCUAGUGUAGCGGUGAAAUGCGUAGAUAUUAGGAGGAACACCAGUGGCGAAGGCGGCUUUCUGGACUGUAACUGACACUGAGGCACGAAAGCGUGGGGAGCAAACAG